RNAcentral lists this non-coding RNA (27 nucleotides) under Rattus norvegicus (Norway rat). The record is from RNAcentral. Lineage: Eukaryota; Metazoa; Chordata; Mammalia; Rodentia; Muridae.
UCUUUUACUAUACCCAAUCGGUUAACA